GAUGAACGCUGGCGGCGUGCCUAAUACAUGCAAGUCGAGCGAACGGACGAGAAGCUUGCUUCUCUGAUGUUAGCGGCGGACGGGUGAGUAACACGUGGAUAACCUACCUAUAAGACUGGGAUAACUUCGGGAAACCGGAGCUAAUACCGGAGGAUAUUUUGAACCGCAUGGUUCAAAAGUGAAAGACGGUCUUGCUGUCACUUAUAGAUGGAUCCGCGCUGCAUUAGCUAGUUGGUAAGGUAACGGCUUACCAAGGCAACGAUGCAUAGCCGACCUGAGAGGGUGAUCGGCCACACUGGAACUGAGACACGGUCCAGACUCCUACGGGAGGCAGCAGUAGGGAAUCUUCCGCAAUGGGCGAAAGCCUGACGGAGCAACGCCGCGUGAGUGAUGAAGGUCUUCGGAUCGUAAAGCUCUGUUAUUAGGGAAGAACAUAUGUGUAAGUAACUGUGCACAUCUUGACGGUACCUAAUCAGAAAGCCACGGCUAACUACGUG
This 497-nucleotide ribosomal RNA is filed under the name uncultured bacterium. Its description in RNAcentral is "partial 16S ribosomal RNA". It matches the Rfam family "Bacterial small subunit ribosomal RNA", at positions 28 to 507 of the family's 1533-position model. The record is from RNAcentral.